GGGUUGUGAGGUUAAGCGACUAAGCGUACACGGUGGAUGCCCUGGCAGUCAGAGGCGAUGAAGGACGUGCUAAUCUGCGAUAAGCGUCGGUAAGGUGAUAUGAACCGUUAUAACCGGCGAUUUCCGAAUGGGGAAACCCAGUGUGAUUCGUCACACUAUCAUUAACUGAAUCCAUAGGUUAAUGAGGCGAACCGGGGGAACUGAAACAUCUAAGUACCCCGAGGAAAAGAAAUCAACCGAGAUUCCCCCAGUAGCGGCGAGCGAACGGGGAGGAGCCCAGAGCCUGAAUCAGUGUGUGUGUUAGUGGAAGCGUCUGGAAAGGCGCGCGAUACAGGGUGACAGCCCCGUACACAAAAAUGCACAUACUGUGAGCUCGAUGAGUAGGGCGGGACACGUGGUAUCCUGUCUGAAUAUGGGGGGACCAUCCUCCAAGGCUAAAUACUCCUGACUGACCGAUAGUGAACCAGUACCGUGAGGGAAAGGCGAAAAGAACCCCGGCGAGGGGAGUGAAAAAGAACCUGAAACCGUGUACGUACAAGCAGUGGGAGCACAGAGCAAUCUGUGUGACUGCGUACCUUUUGUAUAAUGGGUCAGCGACUUAUAUUCUGUAGCAAGGUUAACCGAAUAGGGGAGCCGAAGGGAAACCGAGUCUUAACUGGGCGUUAAGUUGCAGGGUAUAGACCCGAAACCCGGUGAUCUAGCCAUGGGCAGGUUGAAGGUUGGGUAACACUAACUGGAGGACCGAACCGACUAAUGUUGAAAAAUUAGCGGAUGACUUGUGGCUGGGGGUGAAAGGCCAAUCAAACCGGGAGAUAGCUGGUUCUCCCCGAAAGCUAUUUAGGUAGCGCCUCGUGAAUUCAUCUCCGGGGGUAGAGCACUGUUUCGGCAAGGGGGUCAUCCCGACUUACCAACCCGAUGCAAACUGCGAAUACCGGAGAAUGUUAUCACGGGAGACACACGGCGGGUGCUAACGUCCGUCGUGAAGAGGGAAACAACCCAGACCGCCAGCUAAGGUCCCAAAGUCAUGGUUAAGUGGGAAACGAUGUGGGAAGGCCCAGACAGCCAGGAUGUUGGCUUAGAAGCAGCCAUCAUUUAAAGAAAGCGUAAUAGCUCACUGGUCGAGUCGGCCUGCGCGGAAGAUGUAACGGGGCUAAACCAUGCACCGAAGCUGCGGCAGCGACGCUGAUGCGUUGUUGGGUAGGGGAGCGUUCUGUAAGCCUGUGAAGGUGUGCUGUGAGGCAUGCUGGAGGUAUCAGAAGUGCGAAUGCUGACAUAAGUAACGAUAAAGCGGGUGAAAAGCCCGCUCGCCGGAAGACCAAGGGUUCCUGUCCAACGUUAAUCGGGGCAGGGUGAGUCGACCCCUAAGGCGAGGCCGAAAGGCGUAGUCGAUGGGAAACAGGUUAAUAUUCCUGUACUUGGUGUUACUGCGAAGGGGGGACGGAGAAGGCUAUGUUGGCCGGGCGACGGUUGUCCCGGUUUAAGCGUGUAGGCUGGUUUUCCAGGCAAAUCCGGAAAAUCAAGGCUGAGGCGUGAUGACGAGGCACUACGGUGCUGAAGCAACAAAUGCCCUGCUUCCAGGAAAAGCCUCUAAGCAUCAGGUAACAUCAAAUCGUACCCCAAACCGACACAGGUGGUCAGGUAGAGAAUACCAAGGCGCUUGAGAGAACUCGGGUGAAGGAACUAGGCAAAAUGGUGCCGUAACUUCGGGAGAAGGCACGCUGAUAUGUAGGUGAAGUCCCUCGCGGAUGGAGCUGAAAUCAGUCGAAGAUACCAGCUGGCUGCAACUGUUUAUUAAAAACACAGCACUGUGCAAACACGAAAGUGGACGUAUACGGUGUGACGCCUGCCCGGUGCCGGAAGGUUAAUUGAUGGGGUCAGCGCAAGCGAAGCUCUUGAUCGAAGCCCCGGUAAACGGCGGCCGUAACUAUAACGGUCCUAAGGUAGCGAAAUUCCUUGUCGGGUAAGUUCCGACCUGCACGAAUGGCGUAAUGAUGGCCAGGCUGUCUCCACCCGAGACUCAGUGAAAUUGAACUCGCUGUGAAGAUGCAGUGUACCCGCGGCAAGACGGAAAGACCCCGUGAACCUUUACUAUAGCUUGACACUGAACAUUGAGCCUUGAUGUGUAGGAUAGGUGGGAGGCUUUGAAGUGUGGACGCCAGUCUGCAUGGAGCCGACCUUGAAAUACCACCCUUUAAUGUUUGAUGUUCUAACGUUGACCCGUGAUCCGGGUUGCGGACAGUGUCUGGUGGGUAGUUUGACUGGGGCGGUCUCCUCCUAAAGAGUAACGGAGGAGCACGAAGGUUGGCUAAUCCUGGUCGGACAUCAGGAGGUUAGUGCAAUGGCAUAAGCCAGCUUGACUGCGAGCGUGACGGCGCGAGCAGGUGCGAAAGCAGGUCAUAGUGAUCCGGUGGUUCUGAAUGGAAGGGCCAUCGCUCAACGGAUAAAAGGUACUCCGGGGAUAACAGGCUGAUACCGCCCAAGAGUUCAUAUCGACGGCGGUGUUUGGCACCUCGAUGUCGGCUCAUCACAUCCUGGGGCUGAAGUAGGUCCCAAGGGUAUGGCUGUUCGCCAUUUAAAGUGGUACGCGAGCUGGGUUUAGAACGUCGUGAGACAGUUCGGUCCCUAUCUGCCGUGGGCGCUGGAGAACUGAGGGGGGCUGCUCCUAGUACGAGAGGACCGGAGUGGACGCAUCACUGGUGUUCGGGUUGUCAUGCCAAUGGCACUGCCCGGUAGCUAAAUGCGGAAGAGAUAAGUGCUGAAAGCAUCUAAGCACGAAACUUGCCCCGAGAUGAGUUCUCCCUGACUCCUUGAGAGUCCUGAAGGAACGUUGAAGACGACGACGUUGAUAGGCCGGGUGUGUAAGCGCAGCGAUGCGUUGAGCUAACCGGUACUAAUGAACCGUGAGGCUUAACCUUACAACGCCGAAGGUGUUU
RNAcentral lists this ribosomal RNA (2933 nucleotides) under Escherichia coli. RNAcentral describes it as "bacterial LSU rRNA". It matches the Rfam family "Bacterial large subunit ribosomal RNA". Lineage: Bacteria; Pseudomonadati; Pseudomonadota; Gammaproteobacteria; Enterobacterales; Enterobacteriaceae. The record is from RNAcentral.